AAAGGCCCUGCAGCCUGGCGGGGGUGAACUGCUAAGGCUCCCCAUGGAUUUUUGUGUCAUGGCAGCUGGGACAAACCUGAAGACAUCUGGACACUUGGGACAACUUUCCUCAUUGAUAUACCUGAGGUGAUCAUUGCCACACCUGGAUUAUCACAGGAUUGAACUCAAGGCGUUCACACGGAGCUACAUCCCCAGUGCUUUUUAAAAUUUUGAGACAAUGUCUUGCUAAAUUGCCCAGGCUAGGGCUCAGACUUCUGAUCCUCCUGCUUCAGUCUCCCAAAGUGCUGCAAUUACAGACGUGCACCAGCAUGCCUGGGGCGAGCUGCAUGCGGCCUUCCCUGCAUACCCAGAAUGCCUGGGUCUCCAUUCAUGCUGACAUUGAGGCAGGGUUCCCCAGAAAACAGUCAUUUCAGGGUUGGGCCAUCAACCACACCUCUGCUCAUUCUGCAUGCAACUGCCCCAGCUGUCUAGUCAUCACAAUUUGGGGUUAGGGGUUUGGUUCCAGAACAGCAAACAGCAGCAGCAGCAGCAGCCCCAGCAAUUACUCUUACCACAUAGCCCAAGAAUAUUCCCAGAGUUGUCCCAUCAUGUUCAAUAUCUAGGCCAAUGCUUUUAGCUGUAUUAUCAAGCUUACUGCCAUUUAUAGAUUAAAAAGAAAACACAAAAAAAACCAACCCUGGGGCUAGAGAUUGCAACGUGGAAGACGAGGAUUUAUGUUUGGGUUCAAUUUCUGUAUCUGUACAUUGGAAAUAAUACAUACCACUUAGGGUUGCUGACAGGAUUAAAUAAAUGCUACGUAUGUGUUUACUUGUUUAUUGCCUAUUUUCUGCUCUAGACUAUAAACUCCAGCAAGCAAAGGCCUUCGCUUGUUCAUUGCUCUCUUGACAGAGCCUGAAAUCAGUGCCAGGUACAUAGCAGGUGUUCAAUAAAUUCUUUUUUUUUUU
RNAcentral lists this long non-coding RNA (944 nucleotides) under Heterocephalus glaber (naked mole-rat). RNAcentral describes it as "lncRNA (ENSHGLG00000050511.1)". The record is from RNAcentral. Lineage: Eukaryota; Metazoa; Chordata; Mammalia; Rodentia; Bathyergidae.